CAGCCGCCGCGGGAAUACGUAGGGUGCGAGCGUUAAUCGGAAUUACUGGGCGUAAAGCGUGCGCAGGCGGUUGUGUAAGACAGGUGUGAAAUCCCCGGGCGUAACCUAGGAACUGCGCUUGUGACUGCACAGCUAGAGUAUGGCAGAGGGGGGUGGAAUUCCACGUGUAGCAGUGAAAUGCGUAGAGAUGUGGAGGAACACCGAUGGCGAAGGCAGCCCCCUGGGCCAAUACUGACGCUCAUGCACGAAAGCGUGGGGAGCAAACAGGAUUAGAUACCCCCGUAGUCCCUGUCUCUUAUAC
This 301-nucleotide ribosomal RNA is filed under the name uncultured bacterium. Its description in RNAcentral is "partial 16S ribosomal RNA". It matches the Rfam family "Bacterial small subunit ribosomal RNA", at positions 509 to 807 of the family's 1533-position model. The record is from RNAcentral.